This 424-nucleotide ribosomal RNA is filed under the name Lomentospora prolificans. Its description in RNAcentral is "Scedosporium prolificans Eukaryotic small subunit ribosomal RNA". It matches the Rfam family "Eukaryotic small subunit ribosomal RNA", at positions 1106 to 1554 of the family's 1831-position model. Lineage: Eukaryota; Fungi; Ascomycota; Sordariomycetes; Microascales; Microascaceae. The record is from Rfam by way of RNAcentral.
CGUGGUCGCCAGUGGGAGGAUGGACAAAAGGCUGAAUAUUAAAGAAAUUGGCGGCAUGGCACGACCUGGGGUGGAACCUGACGCUUUUGUUGACUCAACUCGGGGAAACUCACCAGGUCCAGGCUCAGUGAGAAUUGACGGAUUGAGAGCUCUUUCUUGAUUCUGUGGGUGGUGGUGCAUGGCCGUUCUUAGUUGGUGGAGUGAUUUGUCUGCUUAAUUGCGAUAACGAACGAGACCUUAACCUGCUAAAUAGCCCGUACUGCUUUGGCAGUUCGCCGGCUUCUUAGAGGGACUAUCGGCUCAAGCCGAUGGAAGUUUGAGGCAAUAACAGGUCUGUGAUGCCCUUAGAUGUCCUGGGCCGCACGCGCGUUACACUGACAGAGCCAGCGAGUAUUUCCUUGACCGGAAGGUCCGGGUAAUCUUG